Oryzias latipes (Japanese medaka) is the source of this 889-nucleotide non-coding RNA. The record is from RefSeq and is a predicted model, not a curated record. NCBI's taxonomy places the organism in Eukaryota, Metazoa, Chordata, Actinopteri, Beloniformes, Adrianichthyidae.
GGAAGGUUUGGGUCUUCGGGCCGACGGCGUGACGCAGGGACCAGGCGGUGGGCUUGAGGUCCAGAGCCUCGCAGAUCUUGAUCCUCAGCUGUCCAUUGAAGACCACCAUGGCGCCGACGUGAGCCGUUACCGUCGAGGCGUUGAAGAGCUCCCCGGGUGAAGCGGGGGUCCCUGGGUGUUGCAUGGCACCGAGUAGGUGGGAGGGAGGCUCCAGAUACCUGCUGGCAGAGGCUCCUCAGAGAUGUUCGAGCCCGGACCGCUACGACCAGACGGCGGCUGGCGUGUGCCGCAGCAGGGGCGGGGUGGAAAAGCAGCGAGUUCGGGGGAGGGGGGCGGAGAUGUAAACAGGGUGUCCUGCUGCAGGGCCUGCUCUCAUCCACUGCUGCUGCUGCGUGGAACUUUCCGUGGACGUACCUCGGGCUGUCUCCACUCCUCCACCGCGCGGCUGUGGCUGAGCUGCGCAGGAAAUGCGACAAACGCGUCAGGCUUUGCGCAGCUCGCAGGGAAAAUCCACGACUUUUAUUUUGUUAAAUUAAAAUACAUCCAUUUGAGCAAAGCUCCUGUACUUCUAAAAGUAUGCUUCAUUUUUAAAAUGGUGUACAGGGAAAAAGAAUCAGCCGAAAUGAAAGGUGCAGACAUAAUAAUGAACAUCCAUCUUCUCAAUAAACUGCCAACUCCACAAAAGAUGGGACCUCAGAGGAUGAAUGCAGGGAUAUGUGAGGCAUGAGAGGAAUGUCAAACAGAUGACUGCAAACCAUUGCAUCCUCAUGAUCAGACUCUGUGCUGCACGGUAUAUACACAAUCUGUGAUACCUGAAAGUGCAUUCCUGACAUUUUAUAUAUCUUUUACCAAUCCUUUUUUUAUGCCAAUAAAGAAAAAAAACACUUUA